Molecule: ribosomal RNA, 344 nt
Filed under: uncultured bacterium
Lineage: Bacteria
Description: bacterial SSU rRNA
Rfam family: Bacterial small subunit ribosomal RNA
Source: RNAcentral
GACGAACGCUGGCGGCGUGCUUAAUACAUGCAAGUCAACUGAACUUGAGGUAGCAAUAUCACAAGAGAGGUGGCGCACGGGUGAGUAACACGUAGGUAAUCUGCCUUUAGGUCUGACAUAAUUCCGCGAAAGCGGGACUAAUAUCAGAUGAUGCAGCGGCUCGACAUCGAGACAGUUGUUAAACCUUCGGGGCCUAAAGAUGAGCCUGCGUCUGAUUAGGUAGUUGGCGGAGUAAAAGCCCACCAAGCCUGCGAUCAGUAGCUGGUCUGAGAGGAUGAUCAGCCACACUGGAACUGAGACACGGUCCAGACUCCUACGGGAGGCAGCAGUAAGGAAUAUUGCUC